GACGUUCUCCCCUGGUGAAUGACUUGUUUUUGUGUAUUUUCUUUGUCUCUCAUGAUGCAUCUGCACUGACCUGCAGAUUUUAUUUUGUCCUUUUUGCAGACUGGAAGUGUCUCCAGAGGCGCAACCCACAGCCAGGCUUCCUUCCCCCACUGACUCCACUUCCUUUCUUCCUCCUCUCCCUUCUAGCUCUGGCCAGGCACCUGUCCCCUCUGAAUUGGGACAUGGUGCAGACACACAGUCCUCUGAGAGUGCUUCUGUCUUCUCCUCUCUCUCAUCUCCCAUAGCAGCUCCCAUUUCCACAUCGACUCCAAUUGAAAGCUGGCCUCUCGUAGACAGGGGCCAGGCCAAGUCUGAAGAACCACCCUUGCUCCCUAAGGCAGAGUUGCAAACUGAGAGUUUAACACCGGUUCCAAAUUCUGGUUCUUCUGCCCUGGGAUCACUUUUCAAACAGCCAUCCUUUCCAGCAGAUAAAGGGACAGAAGAUUGUCUGAUGGGCAGGACCCAUGAGACAGGCACAGAGAACACCAGCAGCCCUGAGUUGGAGGAGUCUCUCCCAGAGCAGCCUGAAACAGGGCGACAAGACAAAGAACUUCUGAGAUUCCCCCGCAAAAAACAAGACUACAGCCCAUCAUCUGGAGAGGUCCAGGAAGUACCGUUUGCCCUUUCACUCAGCAGUGAUGGAGCUGUGAGCCCCGCUGAGGAGCUUGCAGCAGGAGGAGACAGAGACUUGGAGAGUCAGGCUGGGUCUCUUGGGGAGAGCAAAGCUAGGGAUGCAGUUGAAGAAGUGGCGCCCCCUCUUCCCAUGGGACAAUUGGUCCCUUCCAUUGAUUCCAUGACGCAGAAGCUGGAAGAGAUGGGUCUGAACCUCCACAAGGGCCAGAAGAAAACCAAGAAGCGCGUGUCAUUUUCUGAGCAGCUCUUCAUGGAAGAGGCGGUGGAGGGGGCUGCCCUGCUGGUGGAAGGACACAGCAGUUGUCCCCAGGAGCUGACCCCUGCAUGGGCUGUUGCUGGAAACGCGUCUGAUGGAGAGCCUCCUGAGUCUCCCCACGCAGAGGACUCAGAAAGGGAAUCGGUGACCACACCUGGGCCAGCGACGUGCAGUGCGCCAGCCUCCCCGGCGGAUCACCUCCUCCUCCCCUUCCAGGAGGAGAGUUUCUCCGAAGGCCCCAUGAGUGAAGCAAGCUCAGCAAAAGACACUCCACUCUUUAGGAUGGAGGGAGAGGAUGCCCUUGUGACUCAGUAUCAGAGCAAAGCCAGUGACCACGAAGGUUUAUUGUCUGACCCCUUGAGUGACCUUCAGUUGGCCUCAGAUUUUAAAUCUCCAAUCAUGGCCGAUCUGAACUUAAGCCUUCCUUCCAUUCCUGAAGUCGCAUCGGAUGAUGAAAGAAUAGAUCAGGUUGAAGAUGAUGGAGAGACAGCAAAGUCGUCAACUCUGGACAUAGGAGCUUUGUCCUUGGGCUUGGUAGUCCCCUGUCCUGAGAGGGGAAAGGGGACUAGUGGUGAGGCAGAUAGGUUGGUACUGGGGGAGGGCCUGUGUGAUUUCAGGCUGCAAGCACCCCAGGCAUCUGUGAGAGCUCCUUCAGAGCAGACCACAGAGUUCGGAAUUCACAAACCACAUCUUGGCAAGAGCUCAAGCUUGGGUAAACAGCUGCCAGGCCCCAGUGGUGGCGAGGAAGAAAAACCGAUAGGAAAUGGGAGUCCAAGCCCCCCUCCUGGCACGUCCCUGGACAAUCCUGUACCCAGCCCCUCCCCUUCUGAGUUCUUUCCUGUCCCACACUCUUUCCCCAGCUCUGCACAUUCUGACACUCACCACACCAGCACAGCAGAAUCUCAAAUAAAAGCCACAGCAGAGGGCUCCGCUGGUAGAGUUGAAAAUUUUGGCAAGAGGAAGCCACUCCUCCAGGCCUGGGUCUCACCCUCGGAGACACAUCCAGUCUCAGCUCAGCCAGGCGCUGGAACUGGGUCAGCCAAGCACAGGUGAGAGAUGGGAGAGAUUAUCUAUGUAAAUGUGAGCAAUGUCCCCCUUUGCUUCCUACCUGCAGAGGUUACGGCUUUCUAACCACACAACCCGCCUGUCACUGUCCUGCUGGUAGGGCUGCCCCUUGUGGUGGUAAUACCUCAAGACACUGCUGCGUUUAUAGCAAGAACAUAAUAGUAGUCUGUAAAUACAGCUUAGGAAUUGUUCUGCAAGGUCAGAUUUGGAGCUCUCACAUUGCAGAAACGCAAUGCCACCCGUAUCUUAACUGUCUCAGAACUAACUGGCAUUGAGUGGUAGUAGUAUCUAGCAGUGUCAAAAACUUCUUCAAGCACUACCCAAUGUGAAGCUUAUAUGUUUGUUUUGAGCUGUCUUUACUGUGGAGGGACAGAAGCCUCUGCAGAGUUUUACAGUGAACGCCUAGGCUCUAGUUGACUUCAAAAAAUAAGAGACUGCCUUUAAUGUUCUGAUGUUUGUAACAAGACCAAGGGUCCCGUGAAGAUAUCAGGACAUCUGGACAAGGACAUGCUUUACUGGCUUGCAUGUGGCAGCCCUAUCCUGACUGCUUUUGUUUCCACAGGAACUGAGACUUUGGAGUGCGUUGGCCCAGAGAUGAGGGCAGCAUGUGACCCACCUGCCCCUUGUCUGGCUUACUGGCUGCCAUCUUUGCAGUGGGCAGUUUCUCAGUUUCGCCAUGACCGGAGGGUCUAAAGAUCCUUUUCCCCUUCUCUUUAGACUUCAUCCUGUGAAGCCAAUGAAUGCAACGGCCACCAAGGUUGCUAACUCCAGCUUGGGAACUGCCACCAUCAUCAGUGAGAACUUGAACAACGAGGCCAUGAUGAAGAAAUACAGCCCCUCGGACCCUGCAUUUGCAUAUGCGCAGCUGACCCAUGAUGAGCUGAUCCAGCUGGUCCUCAAACAGAAGGAAACGAUAAGCAAGAAGGAGUUCCAGGUCCGCGAGCUGGAAGACUACAUUGACAACCUGCUUGUCAGGGUCAUGGAAGAAACCCCCAAUAUCCUCCGCGUCCCGACUCAGGUUGGCAAAAAAGCAGGAAAGAUGUAA
This 3038-nucleotide small RNA is filed under the name Pongo abelii (Sumatran orangutan). Its description in RNAcentral is "retained intron". The record is from RNAcentral. Lineage: Eukaryota; Metazoa; Chordata; Mammalia; Primates; Hominidae.